Molecule: ribosomal RNA, 1106 nt
Filed under: Bacillus velezensis
Lineage: Bacteria; Bacillati; Bacillota; Bacilli; Caryophanales; Bacillaceae
Description: bacterial SSU rRNA
Rfam family: Bacterial small subunit ribosomal RNA
Source: RNAcentral
CCAUAGAGGCGGUCUAUAAUGCAGUCGAGCGGACAGAUGGGAGCUUGCUCCCUGAUGUUAGCGGCGGACGGGUGAGUAACACGUGGGUAACCUGCCUGUAAGACUGGGAUAACUCCGGGAAACCGGGGCUAAUACCGGAUGGUUGUUUGAACCGCAUGGUUCAGACAUAAAAGGUGGCUUCGGCUACCACUUACAGAUGGACCCGCGGCGCAUUAGCUAGUUGGUGAGGUAACGGCUCACCAAGGCGACGAUGCGUAGCCGACCUGAGAGGGUGAUCGGCCACACUGGGACUGAGACACGGCCCAGACUCCUACGGGAGGCAGCAGUAGGGAAUCUUCCGCAAUGGACGAAAGUCUGACGGAGCAACGCCGCGUGAGUGAUGAAGGUUUUCGGAUCGUAAAGCUCUGUUGUUAGGGAAGAACAAGUGCCGUUCAAAUAGGGCGGCACCUUGACGGUACCUAACCAGAAAGCCACGGCUAACUACGUGCCAGCAGCCGCGGUAAUACGUAGGUGGCAAGCGUUGUCCGGAAUUAUUGGGCGUAAAGGGCUCGCAGGCGGUUUCUUAAGUCUGAUGUGAAAGCCCCCGGCUCAACCGGGGAGGGUCAUUGGAAACUGGGGAACUUGAGUGCAGAAGAGGAGAGUGGAAUUCCACGUGUAGCGGUGAAAUGCGUAGAGAUGUGGAGGAACACCAGUGGCGAAGGCGACUCUCUGGUCUGUAACUGACGCUGAGGAGCGAAAGCGUGGGGAGCGAACAGGAUUAGAUACCCUGGUAGUCCACGCCGUAAACGAUGAGUGCUAAGUGUUAGGGGGUUUCCGCCCCUUAGUGCUGCAGCUAACGCAUUAAGCACUCCGCCUGGGGAGUACGGUCGCAAGACUGAAACUCAAAGGAAUUGACGGGGGCCCGCACAAGCGGUGGAGCAUGUGGUUUAAUUCGAAGCAACGCGAAGAACCUUACCGGUCUUGACAUCCUCUGACAAUCCUAGAGAUAGGACGUCCCCUUCAGGGGCAGAGUGACAGGGGGUGCAUGGGUUGUCGUCAGCUCGUGUCGUGAGAUGUUGGGGUUAAGUCCCGCAACGAGGCGCAACCCUUGAUUCUUAAGUUUGGCC